This 253-nucleotide ribosomal RNA is filed under the name uncultured bacterium. RNAcentral describes it as "partial 16S ribosomal RNA". It matches the Rfam family "Bacterial small subunit ribosomal RNA", at positions 524 to 776 of the family's 1533-position model. The record is from RNAcentral.
UACGUAGGCAGCGAGCGUUGUUCGGAGUUACUGGGCGUAAAGGGUGUGUAGGCGGUUGCUUAAGUUUGGUGUGAAAUCUCCCGGCUCAACUGGGAGGGUGCGCCGAAUACUGAGUGACUCGAGUGCGGGAGAGGAGAGUGGAAUUCCUGGUGUAGCGGUGAAAUGCGCAGAUAUCAGGAAGAACACCAAUGGCGAAAGCAGCUCUCUGGGACGGUACUGACGCUGAGACGCGAAAGCGUGGGGAGCGAACAGG